RNAcentral lists this non-coding RNA (173 nucleotides) under Candidatus Fermentithermobacillaceae bacterium. RNAcentral describes it as "partial 6S RNA". It matches the Rfam family "6S / SsrS RNA". From Rfam's summary of the family: E. coli 6S RNA was the first non coding RNA to be sequenced, but its function was unknown until recently. It consists of 184 nucleotides that fold into an extended hairpin structure with a large single-stranded internal bulge. Lineage: Bacteria; Bacillati; Bacillota; Candidatus Fermentithermobacillia; Candidatus Fermentithermobacillales; Candidatus Fermentithermobacillaceae. The record is from RNAcentral.
UGUACCCUGCUGUGUACGUGAAUCACGGUGAAGCUUGAGCCAACACCGUGACAACGGGAGCCUGGACGCUGAUGAGCGGAGUGCAGGUCGCGUCAGAGCGAAGCGCAGAUGCUCACAGGAGGGCACCCACCUGCUGAGGGCAGGUUCAAUGCCUUCCGGGUUCACGGCAUGGC